GGCCGGGUGGUCUAGUGGUAAGGACGUUAGCUGCGUAAGCUGAAGACGCGGGUUCAAUUCCCGCCACGGCCA
Molecule: non-coding RNA, 72 nt
Organism: Cydia amplana
Lineage: Eukaryota; Metazoa; Arthropoda; Insecta; Lepidoptera; Tortricidae
Source: the annotation of a RefSeq genome assembly